AUGUCCCCGCACCACACCACCUCCAUCUCCAUGGACACCUCCACCCUUGCCGCCGUCGCUUCCUUCGUCGCCUUCUCCACGAAGCCCCGCCUCCUCCCGCCACUCAACCCCUCUCGCACCCUUCCACGCACCCGCGGCUCCCUUGCCGUCUGUUGCUCUCACUCCCACGCCUCUCCUCCGCCCUCGCCCCUCCCGUGCACUGCGUCCGAUGAGGAGGAGGUCGCUCCUCCGCGCCUCCGCCUCCGCCUACUCGCCGAGGAGUUCGGCGCUCUUCCGGACGCCGACCGCGCGCGCCGCCUGCUCGCGUACGCGGCCGCGCUCCCGCGGCUGCCCCAGGCGGACCGCGUCGCGGCCAACCGCGUCAUGGGGUGCGUCGCGCAGGUCUGGCUCCUGGGCAGCUGCGACCGCUCGGGACGCAUGCGGUUCGCGGCCGACUCCGACUCCGAGCUCUCGCGCGGGUACUGUUCCUGCCUCGUCUCCGCGCUCGACGGCGCGGGCCCCGAGGAGGUGCUCGACGUGGACCCCGCCGAUCUCGCGCCGCUCGGUGUGGCCGCGGGGGCGCGGUCCCGGGUCAAUACGUGGCACAACGUGCUCGUCGGCAUGCAGAAGCGGGCGCGGGCAGCCAUUGCGGCGCGCGAGGGCAGGCGUCCUGGGGAGCCGUUCCCGUCGCUCGUGAUCGGCCGGGACGGCGCCGUCCGCGCGCAAGGAAGCUACGCCGAGGCCAAGGCGAAGUUUUUAUCUCCUGACCAGUCCAAGAUUUCCGAGCUUGUGAAUGCCCUCAGAGAGAAACAAAUUGGAAUUGUGGCCCAUUUCUACAUGGAUCCUGAGGUGCAAGGCAUACUAACUGCUGCAAAGAGGCAAUGGCCCCACAUUCACAUAUCCGACUCAUUGGUAAUGGCAGAUAGUGCUGUUCAGAUGGCUGAAUCAGGAUGCAAAUAUAUCGCUGUGCUAGGUGUUGACUUCAUGUCAGAAAAUGUCCGUGCAAUACUUGAUCAAGCAGGAUUUACUCAGGUUGGUGUUUAUAGAAUGUCCAGCGAGCAAAUUGGUUGUUCCUUGGCAGAUGCUGCUUCAAGUUCUGCUUAUACACAUUUUCUUAAGACGGCAUCAAGAUCUCCUCCUUCUUUACAUGUCAUUUAUAUCAAUACCUCACUGGAAACAAAAGCUCAUACUCAUGAACUUGUUCCUACGAUAACCUGUACCUCUUCCAAUGUUGUUGCAACUAUACUACAGGCAUUUGCCGAAAUACCAGAUCUUAAUGUCUGGUAUGGUCCUGAUUCCUAUAUGGGUGCGAACAUAGCAGACCUAUUUAAGAGAAUGACUAUCAUGUCAGAUGAAGAGAUUACAGAGAUACAUCCAGAUCACAACAGGAAAACUAUAAGUUCAUUAUUACAACGUCUUCAUUACUAUCAGAAUGGUAACUGUAUUGUGCAUGAUAUGUUUGGCCAUGAAGUUGUGGAGAAAAUAAAGGAGGAAUACUGUGAUGCAUUUCUAACUGCACACUUUGAAGUCCCAGGAGAAAUGUUCUCUUUGUCAAUGGAAGCAAAGACGAGGGGAAUGGGAGUAGUUGGAUCCACUCAGAAUAUCUUAGAUUUCAUUAAAUACCAUUUGAAGCAAGCUCUGGAUCGGAAUGUUGAUGAUCAUCUUCAGUUUGUAUUGGGAACAGAAUCAGGAAUGAUCACUUCGAUUGUUGCUGCUGUCCGGCAAUUAUUUGACUCCUAUGAAUCUUCCAAAGAAGGUGCUAGCAUUGAAGUAGAAAUUGUGUUCCCUGUUUCGUCAGACGCAAUUUCUAAGACAUCUAUUGAUGAUUCCCAUCAUUUCGGCUCUUCAGUAGCGAAUGAUUUAGAACAGAUUAAUAUUGUGCCUGGUGUGUUUUCUGGUGAAGGGUGCUCUAUCCAUGGUGGCUGUGCAUCAUGCCCUUACAUGAAGAUGAAUUCUCUUGAGUCGCUACUUAAAAUCUGCCAGCAGCUUCCUGGUGAAGACAACAGUUUAUCUGUUUAUCAGGCUAGUCGAUUGAAUGCUAAGACUUCCCUUGGGAAAUUGGUUGCGGAGGUUGGGUGUGAGCCAAUUUUGCAUAUGAGGCAUUUCCAGGCGACAAAGAGAUUACCAGACAAGCUCGUUCACCAGGUUAUCCAUGGUAACGGAGGGGAACCUUUAUGA
RNAcentral lists this ribosomal RNA (2157 nucleotides) under Triticum aestivum (bread wheat). RNAcentral describes it as "partial small subunit ribosomal RNA". The record is from RNAcentral. Lineage: Eukaryota; Viridiplantae; Streptophyta; Magnoliopsida; Poales; Poaceae.